This is a long non-coding RNA of Melanotaenia boesemani (Boeseman's rainbowfish), 269 nucleotides long. RefSeq lists it as uncharacterized. Lineage: Eukaryota; Metazoa; Chordata; Actinopteri; Atheriniformes; Melanotaeniidae. The transcript is spliced from 3 exons. The record is from RefSeq and is a predicted model, not a curated record.
UUUUGGAGAUCAGACAGCUCUGGUAUUAGAAAAAAGUACAGCCCAAACCAAGAAAGUUGAUGUUUAUGUUGACGGCACAUACUCGACUUCUGCAGUUGUUUCUGCCACUGAUACAAGGGCAUACAUUGACAUCAGUGGAUGCAGGUUCUCAGGUAAAGGCUUUUCUCCUAAUACAACACAUGUAAAUGAAACCUGCACCAGCGUCUCAUGCGGUCUUGACAGAUCCAUCACACUCUCAGGCUGUAAUGAUGGGGAACGCUGUGAUGGCC